CACUGGGGCCCAAAUGAGUAUCCGACUCAUCAUACCCUCAUAGUACAUCCAAUGUACUUUGCUGAAGCGAGACUUGUGGGGUUCCAGAUCAAUGAAUGAUAACCGAGAAGAAAAAAAA
Dioscorea cayenensis subsp. rotundata (Guinea yam) is the source of this 118-nucleotide long non-coding RNA. RefSeq lists it as uncharacterized. The record is from RefSeq and is a predicted model, not a curated record. NCBI's taxonomy places the organism in Eukaryota, Viridiplantae, Streptophyta, Magnoliopsida, Dioscoreales, Dioscoreaceae. The transcript is spliced from 2 exons.